UUGGAGCUGCAGAGGUAGAGAAAGAGAGGAAAGGAUCCUGGGGGAAGGCAAGAGGGCGCGGGACACCGACCGAGGCCCUCUUCCCACUCUCCGCGAGCGACCUGGCGGGGGCUACGGGCUGUCCCACCACUCCAGCCCGCCACCCGCGUGGGCCCCGGCAUCCCGCGUGCGCCUGGCUCCCCGGGCUUUGCCUCCUGUGCCCAGCCGGCCGCGGCAUCCUCCCUCAGACAACCCUACGCGGCUCGCCAAAGUGUUUUGGUGCUGGUGGAGCAAACUCACGCCCCUAGCCAGCCUUCUCAGCAACUCGUGCCAAGAGUACUCGUUCACCAGCGCCGCCCCUUUAAGAGAUUUCGACUGCAGACAUUUUUUUAACUUUUUAAAGACAGGAUGAAGUAAUCCGAAAAGGGCUGGAGUGCAUGACCUCCAACUGAAGUUCUCUGAGGAGCUUCUAUCAAACUAAGCAACCAAGAAAUACAGAAGUUAGGUUGUGUUAGACUGAGAAGUGCCAUUAAGAACUUCUAGAAGUAAGACUGCAUAAAAUGAGGCCAAAAGAGAAGGAAAAUCCAAGGCAUGUUAUUUAAAGAUGAUUUUAAAGAUUUUAAAUACUGAAAUAUUAGAUGUGAGCUUUGGCCCUUAAGACCUGCCUUCUUUUUUUGGUUCCUGAACAUUUCUGACACACACCUAAAUCCUUUAAAAUAUGUGUGUUUCUGUGAAUGGGUGUGUGGUAUGGUACAAAUUCCCAUAGAAAUUACUAUAAUUUUAAAAUAUGUGCUGAGCACCUCCUUGAAAUAGAUGGUAACAGCCUGGUGAGCAAA
Molecule: long non-coding RNA, 815 nt
Organism: Lutra lutra (Eurasian river otter)
Lineage: Eukaryota; Metazoa; Chordata; Mammalia; Carnivora; Mustelidae
Exons: 3
Source: RefSeq, a predicted model, not a curated record